This 550-nucleotide ribosomal RNA is filed under the name Rhodotorula mucilaginosa. RNAcentral describes it as "LSU rRNA". It matches the Rfam family "Eukaryotic large subunit ribosomal RNA", at positions 90 to 656 of the family's 3401-position model. The record is from RNAcentral. Lineage: Eukaryota; Fungi; Basidiomycota; Microbotryomycetes; Sporidiobolales; Sporidiobolaceae.
CGAGCGAAGCGGGAAGAGCUCAAAUUUAUAAUCUGGCACCUUCGGUGUCCGAGUUGUAAUCUCUAGAAAUGUUUUCCGCGUUGGACCGCACACAAGUCUGUUGGAAUACAGCGGCAUAGUGGUGAGACCCCCGUAUAUGGUGCGGACGCCCAGCGCUUUGUGAUACAUUUUCGAAGAGUCGAGUUGUUUGGGAAUGCAGCUCAAAUUGGGUGGUAAAUUCCAUCUAAAGCUAAAUAUUGGCGAGAGACCGAUAGCGAACAAGUACCGUGAGGGAAAGAUGAAAAGCACUUUGGAAAGAGAGUUAACAGUACGUGAAAUUGUUGGAAGGGAAACGCUUGAAGUCAGACUUGCUUGCCGAGCAAUCGGUUUGCAGGCCAGCAUCAGUUUUCCGGGAUGGAUAAUGGUAGAGAGAAGGUAGCAGUUUCGGCUGUGUUAUAGCUCUCUGCUGGAUACAUCUUGGGGGACUGAGGAACGCAGUGUGCCUUUGGCGGGGGUUUCGACCUCUUCACACUUAGGAUGCUGGUGGAAUGGCUUUAAACGACCCGUCUUG